This 103-nucleotide microRNA precursor is filed under the name Marmota monax (woodchuck). The record is from RNAcentral. Lineage: Eukaryota; Metazoa; Chordata; Mammalia; Rodentia; Sciuridae.
AGUGGGAUAGCUGGGUCAUAUGGUUGUUUCACUUCUAGUUUUUUGAGGAAUCUCCAUAUUGCUUUCCAAAUUGGUUGUACCAAUUUGCAGUCCUACUAACAAU